Molecule: long non-coding RNA, 2737 nt
Organism: Lemur catta (Ring-tailed lemur)
Lineage: Eukaryota; Metazoa; Chordata; Mammalia; Primates; Lemuridae
Exons: 7
Source: RefSeq, a predicted model, not a curated record
CCCCGGGCCGCGGGAAGGGUGGUCUUUCCCCCAGAGUUGCCGCCGGAGGACGAAAGUUUUUGCAAGCAGCCCUGCCUGCGCGUGCCCCCUCUCCCCGGGUCCCUGUCGCCCACGGUGAGGCGCCCCUGCGGGAGCCGGAGGCCUGUUGGGGAGAAGCCGAGCAGGUUUGCCCCCCCUGCCCCACCCCGAGCCGGGGCGGAGGAGACGCUGGUGACCUCGCCUCCCCCCCCUCACCCUCUGCACCCCCUUUUCUCUUUCUUGGUGGACCUUGGACCGUGGAGAUUCUGCGGAUGCGCUGGGAGCUGACAGCAGUGAGUAAAUGUGGAUGUGCAAAGCAGCGCCCGUCCAGUUCCCGCCUCUGCUGUCCCCAGACAGUGCGCUUGACAUUUCCGUCCAUCCAUGCAUCUUAAGUCCACCACCACUGCCUGUCACGGAGCAGCUGCCCUCAGGAGAGGAGGUCAGGGGAGACCCGUUCCGGCCCUCACGGAGAUGCGGUGUGGUGGUCUCUGGAAGAAGGAAGGUGUGAAACAUCCACUCCCUGGGAAAACAGGACACACGCACAGGAACUGGCCUGCGCAGACGUCUCCUGAUGGAGACUGGGCCACGUCAGGAAGAUCGUCUAACCGAGCCUCCCUUCGUGGCCGUAGAGCACGAUGGUGACGGCCAUCUUGGAUCUUGGCGAAGCUUCCCCUGAGAUAAUGAAUGCCUAACCCUCAUCAACUACUUUGCCAUUGUGGGCUUCCUUGCUCACACAGACAUCUAGCAAGAAAGCAUGGUGGGGGCUGUGAGAUCCAUCAUCACCGCCAAAAUACCCAAGGUCUUUUUACUUUCAAUAUCUGAAGACCCAAAUUAUGUUAUUGGAUGAAUGGUAUUUGUAGAGUCAAAGAGAAGGGCUGGGGUGCAAAAUGGAACAUCUUCUAUUCAUUCAAGAAGGAUUUACCAACCUCAGGUGGAAAAGAAAAAUUCUGGACACAUUAUAUGUCUCAAUUUUGCAAAGGCAUUUCGCAAAGUCGCUAAUGACAUCUGUUGGAGGCUGAGUGGUGUCCCCCAAAGACAUUCAGGCUGUAAUCCCUGAAAUCUAUGAAUGUUACCUUAUAUGGUAAAGCCUUUGCAGAGGUGAUUAAGUUAAGGACCUUGAGUUGGAGGGAUUAUCCUGGAUCAUCCAGUCGGGCCCUAAAUGCCGUCACACGUAUCCUUAUACAAGAAACAGGCAGAGAGAGAUUUUAUAAUGACACACGCAGAGAAGGCAAUGUAAAGAUGGGGCAGAGGAAGAGUUAGAGAUGUUGGCCUUGGAGAUUGGAGUGAUGCAGCCAUAAGCCGAGGAAUGCCGGCGGCCGGCAGAAGCACGGAACAGAUUCUCCCCUAGAGCUUCUGGAGGGAUCCUGGCCUUUGGGACAUCUUGAUUUCAGCCCAGUGAAACUUCUCCAGAACUGUGAGAGAAUAAUUUGUGUUGUUUUAAGCCUCCAAACUGGAAAUUUGUUAUAGUAGUCUCAGGACCAUCUUUGCAAAUAAAAUGGAGACACAGGUCCAGGAGACAGUGUGGGUAGGUGGAGUCUCAGCUAUCUGACCAGCUUGAUCUAUUUAUUUAGUCACUCGGAAAAUAUUUAUGGAGUGACUACAGUGUUCCGGGCACAGGAGCAGUGAAUAAGGCAACAUUCCCACUGACACUGGGGUGGAGGAGGGAGCAGCUGAUAAACAGAUGGGGGUGUUAUUCCUGAGGGGCGGCUGCCAGGGCUGGAGGCCGCCCUGCUCUGGAGGUGCUCUGUUUGCAGUGUGGGCAGACUUGACCUGAGUGAAGGCCGCAGAAAUGUCUCGAGUUAGAGCCUCAUGCUGGUGUCAGCUACACCAGGGCUUCUCGAACUUCAGCCUGUGUGUGAAUCACCUGGAGCACUUGUCAGAACACAGAGUGCUGGGCCUCACCUCCCAGGUUUCUGACUGAGUGAGUCUGGGCUGGGCCUGAGAGUUUGCACUUGUAACAAGACCCCAGGUGAUAUGGGUGCUGCUGGCUGGGAGAUCACACUUGGAGAGGUCUACUCAAGGUCUACCCCAUUGUUAACUCUAGAACUCUUCCUCUCUAGUUCGUCUGUAAAGCUGUGCCCUGAAGAACUUCAGAUUUGAGAGAAGAGUGAAUGGAAAUCAAAAGCUGGAAACCACCCAAAUGUCCAUUAACUGAUGAAUGGGUAAACAAAUUGUGGUAUAUUAUGAUGGAAUAUUUAGUCAUAAAAAGGAAUGAAGUCCUAAUACACCUGUAACAAGGACGAAUCUUGAAAACAUUAGGCUAACCUAAAGUAGCCAUUUACAAAAGGCCACAUACUGUGUGAGUCCAUGUAUAUGACAUGUCCAGAAUAGGUAAAUUCACAGACAGAAAGCAGAUUGAUGGUUGCCAGGAACUGAGGAAGAAGGAGGGCUGGGGAGUGACUGAUUGUUGGAUUUCCUUUUGGAAUGAUAAAAAAGUUCUAGAACUAGAUAGCAGUGAUGGUUGCAAAACACUGUGAAUGUUUAUACUUAGUACCACUGAAUUGUACAUUUAAAAUGGUUAAUUUUGUGUUGUAUGUAUUUUACCACAAUAAAAAAUUAAGAGUGAACGGAGCUUUGUUCUAACUAAAUUGCGAUGCCAGUUGAAAGGUUUACAGGAUGAAAGGCGGAAAGGCAAAGGGCCUCUAAACCUGUGGCUUUCAGUCCUGAUUGAGCAAAGAAUCAUUUGCAAAGAUUUAAACCAUACCCUUGUCUUAGCUAC